This is a long non-coding RNA of Teleopsis dalmanni, 361 nucleotides long. RefSeq lists it as uncharacterized. The record is from RefSeq and is a predicted model, not a curated record. NCBI's taxonomy places the organism in Eukaryota, Metazoa, Arthropoda, Insecta, Diptera, Diopsidae. The transcript has 2 exons.
UCAAAUGACAACUAAAAAACAAAUAAAGUAAAUGGGAGAAAUUACUUAAAUUUAAAAGUAAAGUAAAUUAUUUAACAAGGCACUCCAAUAUACAGAGGAAGAGCGUCAGAUACGUAAACAAAUAUUAGCACAUUACUCAAAGGUAAUGCUGCUUGUAAAUCCUACCAAAGCUGUUACUGUACCAUAUACAAUUUGGAAUAUCAUGACAUCACGCGGCUUAUUGCUUAUUGCUUACAGCUGAUUAGGUCUAUUAAAUUAUGCUAUAUGGAGUCAAUGUCGUCACUAAAAUACUAGACCUGUCGGAUUCUGUAUCUGAUGUUUUUUUUCGCAUUUCAUACGAAUUACUAGUGCGAUGGAUGUU